CCGCGUGUAGGAUGAAGGCCUUCGGGUUGUAAACUAACUGUUACACUUUACCAACGCCUGGACGUGAAUAGCGCUCCAGGGCGAGCAAGGUGAGAGAAAGCACAGGCUAACUCCGUGCCAGCAGCCGCGGUAAUACGGAGUGUGCAAGCGUUACUCGGAAUCACUGGGCAUAAAGCGCGCGUAGGCGGGACGACAAGUCGGAUGUGAAAUCCCUCAGCUUAACUGAGGAGCUGCAACCGAUACUGUCAUUCUCGAGGACGAAAGGGGAGAGCGGAACUUCUGGUGAAGCGGUGAAAUGCGUAGAUAUCAGAAGGAACGCCGGUGGCGAAAGCGGCUCUCUGGUUCGUAUCUGACGCUGAGGCGCGAAAGCUUGGGUAGCAAAACGGGAUUAGAUACCCCGGUAGUCCAAGCCGUAAACGAUGAGUACUAGGUAGCGGAGGCCUCGGUCGCC
This 451-nucleotide ribosomal RNA is filed under the name uncultured bacterium. RNAcentral's name for it is "bacterial SSU rRNA". It matches the Rfam family "Bacterial small subunit ribosomal RNA", at positions 397 to 838 of the family's 1533-position model. The record is from RNAcentral.